GUGCGCUUUGGCAGCACAUAUAUUAAAAUUGGAACUAUACAGAGAAGAAUAACAUGGCCCCUGCCCAAGAAUGACACACAAAUUCAUGAAUCCUUCCGUAUUUUU
This 105-nucleotide small nuclear RNA is filed under the name Catagonus wagneri (Chacoan peccary). Lineage: Eukaryota; Metazoa; Chordata; Mammalia; Artiodactyla; Tayassuidae. The record is from RNAcentral.